AGUUCGAUCAUGAAUAAGUUAAGGACACUGGCGGGAUCACCAUGCAAGUCGAACAGCGGCACGGACUUCGGUCAGUGGCGAGUGGCGAACGGGUGAGUAAUGUAUCGGAACGAUGACACCUAGUAGCAGGGGAUAACUACGCCAGGCGUAGCCUAAUACCGCAUACGCCCUUCGGGGAAAGCGAGGGGACCUUCGGGCCUCGCGUAUAAUAAGAGCGACGAUAUCGGAUUAGCUAGUUGGUGGGAAGUAACAGCUCACCAAGGCGACGAUCAUGGUGACUGGUUAUUGAGAGGACGACCAGCCACGUGGGGCUGAAGACCAGCCCGGACUCCUGCGGACGGCGGUGGGAAUUUUUGGACAAUGGGGCGUGGGAUGACAUCCCGCGUGUGCGAUGAAGGCCUUCCAGGUUGUAAAGCACUUUGGCGGGAGAAACAGCACAGGAUAAUACCCCGUGCGGCUGACUGAUACCUGCAGAAUAGCCACCGGCUAACUACGUGCCGCUUGGCCGCGGUAAUACGUAGGGUGCAAGCGUUAAUCGGAAUUACUGGGCGUAAAGCGUGCGCGAGCGGUUCGGAAGAAGAUGUGAUUAGGCUUAACUUUGGAACUGCAUUUUUAACUACCGAGCUAGGAUGUGUCAGAGGGAGGUGGAAUUCCGCGUGUAGCAGUGAAAUGCGCCGAUGGCGGAGGAACACCGAUGGCGAAGGCAGCCUCCUGGGAUAACACUGACGCUCAUGCACGAAAGCGUGGGGAGCAAACAGGAUUAAGUGGUAGUCCCACGCCCUAAACGAUGUCCAAUAGCUGUUGGGGCCCUUCAGGCCUUAGUAGCACAACGCGUGAAGUUGACCGCCUGGGAGUGGUCGCAAGAUUAAAACUCAAAGGAAUUGACGGGGACCCGCACAAGCGGUGGAUGAUGUGGAUUAAUUCGAUGCAACGCGAAAACCUUACCUACCCUUGACGAUAUCUGGAAUCCCAGAGAUUUGGGAGUGCUCGCAGAGAACCGGAACACAGGUGCUGCAUGGCUGUCGUCAGCUCGUGUCGUGAGAUGUUGGGUUAAGUCCCACUGUAGGCGCAACCCUUGUCAUUAGUUGCUACGAAAGGGCACUCGUAAUAGAACUACUGGUGACAAACCGGAGGAAGGUGGGGAUGACGUCAAGUCCUCAUAGCCAUAUGGGUAGGGCUUCACACGUCAUACAAUGGUCGGGACAGAGGGUCGCCAACCCGCGAGGGGGAGCCAAUCCCAGAAACCCGAUCGUAGUCCGGAUCGCAGUCUGCAACUCGACUGCGUAGAAGUCAGAAUCAUAGUAAUCGCGGAUCAGCAUGUCGCGGUGAAUACGUUCCGGGUCUUGUACACACCGUCCGUCACACCAUGGGAGUGGGUUUACCAGAAGUAGUUAGCCUAACCGUAAGGAGGGCGAUUACCACAGUAGGAUUCAUGACUGGGGUGAAGUCGUAACAGGGUAG
Molecule: ribosomal RNA, 1461 nt
Filed under: uncultured Bordetella sp.
Lineage: Bacteria; Pseudomonadati; Pseudomonadota; Betaproteobacteria; Burkholderiales; Alcaligenaceae
Description: partial 16S-23S ribosomal RNA intergenic spacer
Rfam family: Bacterial small subunit ribosomal RNA
Source: RNAcentral